CAGGCUUAACACAUGCAAGUCGAGGGGCAGCAUUUCAGUUUGCUUGCAAACUGGAGAUGGCGACCGGCGCACGGGUGAGUAACACGUAUCCAACCUGCCGAUAACUCGGGGAUAGCCUUUCGAAAGAAAGAUUAAUACCCGAUGGUAUAAUCAGACCGCAUGGUCUUGUUAUUAAAGAAUUUCGGUUAUCGAUGGGGAUGCGUUCCAUUAGGCAGUUGGUGAGGUAACGGCUCACCAAACCUUCGAUGGAUAGGGGUUCUGAGAGGAAGGUCCCCCACAUUGGAACUGAGACACGGUCCAAACUCCUACGGGAGGCAGCAGUGAGGAAUAUUGGUCAAUGGGCGCAGGCCUGAACCAGCCAAGUAGCGUGAAGGAUGACUGCCCUAUGGGUUGUAAACUUCUUUUAUAUGGGAAUAAAGUUUUCCACGUGUGGAAUUUUGUAUGUACCAUAUGAAUAAGGAUCGGCUAACUCCGUGCCAGCAGCCGCGGUAAUACGGAGGAUCCGAGCGUUAUCCGGAUUUAUUGGGUUUAAAGGGAGCGUAGGUGGACAGUUAAGUCAGUUGUGAAAGUUUGCGGCUCAACCGUAAAAUUGCAGUUGAUACUGGCUGUCUUGAGUACAGUAGAGGUGGGCGGAAUUCGUGGUGUAGCGGUGAAAUGCUUAGAUAUCACGAAGAACUCCGAUUGCGAAGGCAGCUCACUGGACUGCAACUGACACUGAUGCUCGAAAGUGUGGGUAUCAAACAGGAUUAGAUACCCUGGUAGUCCACACAGUAAACGAUGAAUACUCGCUGUUUGCGAUAUACAGUAAGCGGCCAAGCGAAAGCAUUAAGUAUUCCACCUGGGGAGUACGCCGGCAACGGUGAAACUCAAAGGAAUUGACGGGGGCCCGCACAAGCGGAGGAACAUGUGGUUUAAUUCGAUGAUACGCGAGGAACCUUACCCGGGCUUAAAUUGCAUUUGAAUAUAUUGGAAACAGUAUAGCCGUAAGGCAAAUGUGAAGGUGCUGCAUGGUUGUCGUCAGCUCGUGCCGUGAGGUGUCGGCUUAAGUGCCAUAACGAGCGCAACCCUUAUCUUUAGUUACUAACAGGUCAUGCUGAGGACUCUAGAGAGACUGCCGUCGUAAGAUGUGAGGAAGGUGGGGAUGACGUCAAAUCAGCACGGCCCUUACGUCCGGGGCUACACACGUGUUACAAUGGGGGGUACAGAAGGCAGCUACCUGGUGACAGGAUGCUAAUCCCAAAAGCCUCUCUCAGUUCGGAUCGAAGUCUGCAACCCGACUUCGUGAAGCUGGAUUCGCUAGUAAUCGCGCAUCAGCCAUGGCGCGGUGAAUACGUUCCCGGGCCUUGUACACACCGCCCGUCAAGCCAUGAAAGCCGGGGGUACCUGAAGUACGUAACCGCAAGGAGCGUCCUAGGGUAAAACUGGUAAUUGGGGCUAAGUC
This 1441-nucleotide ribosomal RNA is filed under the name uncultured organism. RNAcentral's name for it is "16S ribosomal RNA". It matches the Rfam family "Bacterial small subunit ribosomal RNA". The record is from RNAcentral.